AUCAACAUCAAAGGACAAAAAUAAUAAGAAACAAAGACAGAAAGAAAGAGGAAUGAACACUUCUCUGCUGAGUGGCUAAUCAGUGCGCCUAUCUCCAUGGGCUGCCAUUGCCCUCACUUACUGAUAACUCGACGUUAUCGCCGACACAGCUCACCUCCGUUGCUAAAAUCAACUGCCGUACUUGUGGUAGACAGCCGGAUAUGUUUGUGCGGUGCUUCAGCAGCUGAGACUUCCUGGUCCUUGUGGCAUCGACAUCAUUGCUGUACUGAACACCGCAGCAUAGCAUAUAGCGUUCUUCCGCUCAACAUGCAAGUGGCGAAACGAGUACAAGCGAUGCAACAGCCGAUGAGGAUGGAGUUUUCAUCUCUUGGUGAGGAAAGCGAUAUUGUGAACUUGAGUCCCGGAUUUCCUGACUACCCACCACCGGUGUUCCUUCUCAACGCACUCCAGGACGCCAUCGCCAGCAAUAGCUUCCAUCAGUACACUCGCGGAUCCGGUCAUCCGCGGCUAGUCAAUGCCUUGUCCCAGAUGUACUCUCGCUUAAUCGGUCGAAAGAUUGACCCAGAAAAUGAGGUGCUGGUGACAGUCGGUGCCAUGGAAGCACUUUACGCAGUGUUCCUCGGUCUAGUCAACCCUGGGGAAGAGGUGAUCAUCAUCGAGCCCUUCUUCCCCUCAUAUGAGCCGCAGACAUUGUCGGCAGGAGGAGUGCCAGUUUUCGUCUCCCUCCGCCCUCGUAAGGAAGGCCUAAUUUCAAGUGCCGACUGGGUUCUGGAUCCGAGGGAGCUCGCUUCCAAGUUCAAUUUUAAGACCAAGAUAAUUGUCAUCAACAAUCCACACAAUCCACUCGGGAAGGUUUUCUCCCAGGAAGAGCUAGAAAUGAUUGCGGACCUCUGCAGGACGCACAAUGUUAUCUGUGUAAUGGAUGAAGUUUACGAAUGGAUACUUUACGAUGGAAUCGAGCAUAUUAGAAUGAACACGCUUCCUGGUAUGUGGGAAAGGACUAUAACUUUAGGAAGUGCCGGGAAAGCAUGCGGCGCUACUGGCUGGAGGGUAGGCUGGGCUUAUGGCCCUGAGCACCUGCUUAAAGGACUACGAAGGAUACACGAGAACUGCAUCUGCACAGUCAGCACUCUAAUGCAGCAUCAAAACUGGAGGUACAAGGCAAUGAAGACGAAGGUCACCUCCUCACACAAUGGUUGUGCAGAAAAAAGAAGCUGAUGGUCACUCCUGGUAGUGCGUUCUAUAGUGAGGAUGCCCAACUCCUUGCUAAGGAUUUCAUACGAAUUUGUUAUGCGAAGGACGAUACAACUCUUCUGAAAGCUGCUGCUAUACUGGAAGGACUGAAGACGAUGUUGAGUAGAAAUUAGAGCACACCAAGGAGUGUGAGUGCAAAAUGUCGCUUGCAAAUGACAGCAACUCAAAGCUCAUUAGUAAGGAACAUGAUUGAUUUCCAGCAUUUCUGAGUUUUCUCGUGGCGGCUGCACUUUGAAAUGUUAUUACACUUGUCACCGGUGUGUUAACUAUAAUUAAAGUGGCUGUGGUGAA
RNAcentral lists this unclassified non-coding RNA (1545 nucleotides) under Dermacentor andersoni. RNAcentral describes it as "kynurenine aminotransferase-like". The record is from RNAcentral. Lineage: Eukaryota; Metazoa; Arthropoda; Arachnida; Ixodida; Ixodidae.